This 462-nucleotide ribosomal RNA is filed under the name uncultured bacterium. RNAcentral describes it as "partial 16S ribosomal RNA". It matches the Rfam family "Bacterial small subunit ribosomal RNA", at positions 28 to 507 of the family's 1533-position model. The record is from RNAcentral.
GACGAACGCUGGCGGCGUGCUUAACACAUGCAAGUCGAACGGUGAAGCCCUUCGGGGUGGAUCAGUGGCGAACGGGUGAGUAACACGUGAGCAACCUGCCCCUGGCUCUGGGACAACCACUGGAAACGGUGGCUAAUACCGGAUACGACCCGCCUCGGCAUCGAGUGUGGGUGGAAAGUUUUUCGGCUGGGGAUGGGCUCGCGGCCUAUCAGCUUGUUGGUGAGGUGAAGGCUCACCAAGGCGACGGCGGGUAGCCGGCCUGAGAGGGCGACCGGCCACACUGGGACUGAGACACGGCCCAGACUCCUACGGGAGGCAGCAGUGGGGAAUAUUGCACAAUGGGCGAAAGCCUGAUGCAGCGACGCCGCGUGAGGGAUGACGGCCUUCGGGUUGUAAACCUCUUUCAGCUCCGAAGAAGCGAAAGUGACGGUAGGAGCAGAAGAAGCACCGGCUAACUACGUG